This is a long non-coding RNA of Perca flavescens (yellow perch), 442 nucleotides long. RefSeq lists it as uncharacterized. The transcript has 3 exons. Lineage: Eukaryota; Metazoa; Chordata; Actinopteri; Perciformes; Percidae. The record is from RefSeq and is a predicted model, not a curated record.
UGAGAGCAGUCGAUUUCUCCAGGAUACUGCUGGUCUGAAGCCAGACAGCUCUUAAACCUGUUUCUGGGUCAGUCACUCCUCUUUCUAACUCUAUCUUCCUUAAUUGUUCUCUCCUUCUCGCUCUGUCUCUAUCAGCCUCUCUUUGUCUUCCUCUCCUGUAAUAACAGAGCUGGCAUUUGCAAGGAGGCCACAGCAGGGUUCGCAGAAGAGCUCCCCAAUCACCAAAAUUCCAGGAUUAAACGACUGCCCAAGACAUACAGCUAAUGGAAGACUUGGUCACACCCUACCUGCCAGGCAGAGUCCAAAGAUGGUGAGAAGGACCAGGAUGUAGAGGAACACGAUGGCGUACUUGAUGGCUGAGAGGGAGUUCAGCUUGGCAGGAGGCAGGGAUUAAGCUGUACAUCCCCUUCAGGUCAAGAGGAUGAAGCGAUUUUCAAAGGUU